ACACUACAGGAUGAGACACUCUGCCAACACUUAUGAGAGAGUCAAAGAUGAAAAAGAGGCAGCACCUGCCUUCAGGGAAGCCUCAAUCUAGAAAAGAAGAGAGACACAUGCAGGAGAACUAGUAACUUCAGGCAGAUGGGGCUCACAGUGGAAAGAAAACAAAUAAUAGCAAAGAGACACAAGUGGGAUGACGGCAACAGGCAAAAGAUCAGCAGGAUAAGCAAACACCAGAAAAGAGCCUUCAUGGACUUCACCCUUUCAGAAAAACUCAGCAGAGAACUGAAGGUAAGAUCUUAAGAAUUAAUGAAGUGAUGGUUAGACUGAGGGAAGUCUACCAGGAAGGUUUCCUGGCCUUUGUAUCAGUUUUAAUGGGUGGCGUUUUUGAGAAAGGUUGGCUUUUGUGCAGAGUUCAUGGAGUGGGAAUGAAAACAUGACAG
RNAcentral lists this long non-coding RNA (437 nucleotides) under Chinchilla lanigera (long-tailed chinchilla). RNAcentral's name for it is "lncRNA (ENSCLAG00000027988.1)". The record is from RNAcentral. Lineage: Eukaryota; Metazoa; Chordata; Mammalia; Rodentia; Chinchillidae.